RNAcentral lists this long non-coding RNA (1187 nucleotides) under Equus asinus (donkey). RNAcentral's name for it is "lncRNA (ENSEASG00005036159.1)". The record is from RNAcentral. Lineage: Eukaryota; Metazoa; Chordata; Mammalia; Perissodactyla; Equidae.
UCUCAAGAAAGAGGCUUCCCAGAGAGUUUCCGGUAAAAACAGGUUUAAUUAUUUUUUUUUCUUUUAAAGACUGCACCUGAGCUAACAUCUGUUGCCAAUCUUUUUCUUCUUCUUCUUCUCCCCCAAACACCCCAGUACAUAGUUGUAUAUACUAGUUGUAGGUCCUUCUGGUUGUGGCAUGUGGGACGCCCCCUCAACGUGGCCUGACGAGCGGUGCCAUGUCCGCGCCCAGGAUCUGAACCAGCGAAACCCUGGGCCACCGAAGCAGAGUGCGUGAACCCAACCACACUGCCGCGGGGCUGGCCCCUAAUUAUUUUUUUUAAACUCUAUAGCAUCCCCAAGAAAGUCCAGAACAUGAAAACCUCCCAAAUAGAUGAGAAGAGGAAACACCCCACUGAUGCAGAGGUCUGAAAGCUGGUAGUUUUCAUUAUCUAAAAGACAACCAAGAACCAAUAAGCAAGCAAAAAAGGCAUUUGACAGAACGUAACAAGUGUUGGCGAGGAUGUGGAGAAAUUGGAACCUUUGUGCGCUGUUGGUGGGAAUAUAAAACGGUGCUACUGCUAUGGAAAACAGUAUGGAAGUUCCUCAAAAAAUUAAGAAUACAAUUACUACGUGUUCCAGCAAUCCAGUAUAUACUCAAAAGAAUUGAAAGCAAGGAGUGAAAGAGAUAUUUUUACACCCAUGUUCAUAGCAGCAUUAUUCACAAAAGCCAAAACGUGGGAGCAACCCACAUGUCUAUCAACAGAUGAAUGGAUGGACACAUUGUGGUAGACACGUACAAAGGAAUAUUAUUUAGCCUUAAAAAGGAAAGAAAUUCUGACACAUGCUUCAACAUGCAUGAACCUAGAGGAUAUUAUGUUUAGUGACAUAAGCCAGUCACAAAGGGCCAAAUACUGUAUGAUUCCACUUAUAUGAGGUACCUAGAGUAGACAAAUUCAUAGAGACAGAAAAAUAGAACAGGUGGUUGCCAAGGGCUGGAAGGAAGGGGAAAAGGGGAGUUACUGUUUAAUGGGUACAGAGUUUCAGUUUGGGAAGGUGAAAAGAGUUCUGGAGAUGGAUGGUGGUGAUGGUUGCACAACACUGUGAAUGUACUUAAUGCCACUGAACUGUACAGUGAAAAUUGAUUAAGAUGGUAAAUUUCAUGUUAUGUGUGUUUCACCACAACUAAAAAGAAUAAUUAAAAAAAC